GUGUUGUGGCUCAGUGGUAGAGUGCUCGCCUAGCACGUAGAAGGCCCUGGGUUCCAUCCUCAGUACCAUACA
This 72-nucleotide transfer RNA is filed under the name Marmota monax (woodchuck). RNAcentral's name for it is "tRNA.Ala". The record is from RNAcentral. Lineage: Eukaryota; Metazoa; Chordata; Mammalia; Rodentia; Sciuridae.